This 119-nucleotide ribosomal RNA is filed under the name Pteropus alecto (black flying fox). The record is from RNAcentral. Lineage: Eukaryota; Metazoa; Chordata; Mammalia; Chiroptera; Pteropodidae.
GUCUACAGCCAUGCUACUCUGAACAAGCUCAAUCUCGUCUGAUCUCAGAAGCUAAGCAAGGUCAGGCCUAGUUAGUACUUGGAUGGGAAACCACCUAGGAAGACCAGGUACUGUAGACA